AGUGAACGCUGGCGGUAGGCCUAACACAUGCAAGUCGAACGGCAGCACAGUAAGAGCUUGCUCUUACGGGUGGCGAGUGGCGGACGGGUGAGGCAUACAUCGGAAUCUACUUUUUCGUGGGGGAUAACGUAGGGAAACUUACGCUAAUACCGCAUACGACCUACGGGUGAAAGCAGGGGAUCUUCGGACCUUGCGCGAUUCAAUGAGCCGAUGUCGGAUUAGCUAGUUGGCGGGGUAAAGGCCCACCAAGGCGACGAUCCGUAGCUGGUCUGAGAGGAUGAUCGGCCACGCUGGAACUGAGACACGGUCCAGACUCCUACGGGAGGCAGCAGUGGGGAAUAUUGGACAAUGGGCGCAAGCCUGAUCCAGCCAUACCGCGUGGGUGAAGAAGGCCUUCGGGUUGUAAAGCCCUUUUGUUGGGAAAGAAAAGCAGCAGGUUAAUACCCCGCUGUUCUGACGGUACCCAAAGAAUAAGCACCGGCUAACUUCGUG
Molecule: ribosomal RNA, 492 nt
Filed under: uncultured bacterium
Lineage: Bacteria
Description: partial 16S ribosomal RNA
Rfam family: Bacterial small subunit ribosomal RNA
Source: RNAcentral